RNAcentral lists this non-coding RNA (70 nucleotides) under human gut metagenome. RNAcentral's name for it is "ZMP/ZTP riboswitch". It matches the Rfam family "ZMP/ZTP riboswitch aptamer (pfl RNA motif)", at positions 5 to 81 of the family's 86-position model. Rfam says of the family: Previously known as pfl RNA. The record is from RNAcentral.
AGCUACAUGACUGACGGAAAUGUGGAUAACCACAGGGGAGUGUAGCAGUGUGAGCCGACCGUCUGGGCAU